AAGUGUUACAGCUCUUAGAAUUUGUCUAGCAGGCUCUCUGGUUUUUGCCAGAAUGCCCUC
Molecule: small nuclear RNA, 60 nt
Organism: Nomascus leucogenys (northern white-cheeked gibbon)
Lineage: Eukaryota; Metazoa; Chordata; Mammalia; Primates; Hylobatidae
Gene: U7
Rfam family: U7 small nuclear RNA
About the family: Animal histone pre-mRNAs are spliced by a different mechanism than nuclear pre-mRNAs and self-splicing introns.
Source: Ensembl